UGACACAAUUUUUUAAUGGAUAAGAUUUUAAUACACAUUUCACAAAGAAAGCUGUAUGAAUGAUCAAUAAGAAUUGUACAUUAAAAAGCAUUCCAUAUCACCAGUUAAAAUUGCAGGGAUAUACUACCAUACAACAAUCAGAAUGGCUAAAAUUUUAGAAACUGAUAAUAACAAAUGUUGGCAAGGAUGUGAAGCACCUAGAACUCAUUGUUGAUAAGCAUGAAAUGGUACAACCACCAUGGAAAAAGAUCUGGCAAGUGUCUUAUAAAACUAAACAUACACCAACAUAUAACCUAUAACUCAGCAAUUCCACUCCCAGAUUAUUUACCCAAGAGAAAUGAAAACAUACGUCCGCAAAAAGACUUGUAAAAAUAUUUAUAGCAGCUUUAUUCAUAAUAGCUCCAAACUAGAAAUGGUCCUUGUGUUCCGUCAAUGGAAGAAUAAACAAACUGUUGUGUAUCUAUGCAUUGGAAUUCAAUGCAGUAAUUUUUUUAAAGGCACUAUUAGCAAUGAGCACCCUGGCACCGAGAUCUUGGUUUCUAAAUACCAUGCACACCAGGCGUCUUUCAUUUCAUUUCCAAAGAACCAGGGCUCUUUAGAGAAAAAGCUGAUUCUGGGGCUGGGGCUCGGGAAGAAUGAGUCUGGAGCAUAUUGUUAAUACCAGAAAGAAAGUACUUAAAGAAGGAUGAGAUUAUGUCACCAGAACAUAAGAGCCAGCCUGAAAGGGUUCCCACAGGACAAAGUUGGGACUGUGUAACCAUAAAAUAAUAAGAGUACUGUAUUAUAAGCCCCUGAAUAAGAACUUCUGAGCUCAUACUGACAUAAAUAAGUAGGCAAGAAGGGUAAAGCUGUCUUAGUACAGAAUGCCAACUAAUAAACAUAGAAGCAAAAGUAGAGUCAUGGCGUGAGUUGGCUAAAGAAAAAAAAAACAGAGUCAGAAAAUAAACAAUAAAGGCUAAAAGAGUAGUUGCAAAUUUAAUGAGGAACCAGACAUAUUGAUACAACGUCCUGUCCCUCCUGACAUGACCAAGGACACAUCCUUUCUGGGCUGCUUCUGACAAAAGUAUACAAUCCAAAUCUAAUAAUGAGGAUAUGUCAGGAAAAAAAACCACAAGAACUCACCUAUUUUUUAAAAAGUAACAAGAUCAAGAAAGACAAAGUUCAUCUGGUUAGAUAGAUGGUGGGAGAAAAAAAGAAGGGCAAAGGAAGGCAAAGGAGUAGACGGAAGGACAUGAAGAAACAUGACAACUAAAUGCAACACAACACACAGUCCUGGAUUGAUUGGAUUCUUGAUUCAGAAAAAAAAAAAAAGCCACAGGUACAUCAACAAAAUAAUUGACAGAAUUUAAAUUUGGUCUAAGGAUUAGCUAAUAGGCAAUAUCAAUGUCAAAUUUCCUGACUCAGAUAUUUAUUCUGGGUUAUAUAUAAGAACAUUGUUGAUCUCAGGAAACACACAUUGAAAUUUUAUAGGGGAAGAGUAUGAGGACUCAAAGUUACUCUCCAAUGUUUCAGGGGAAAACAGAGGGAGAGAGAAAAAAUGGCAAAGCAAGUGGGACAACAGGUAAGCAAGUGGUGAAUAAGUGUGAAGAGUAUACAGCCAUUCCUUCUACUGUUCUUGCAACUUUUCUGUAGGUUUGAUAAAUCCAAGAUAAAAGAUUACCAAAACACACGCACAUACACAUUACUGUAAUUAUUCUCUAUGAGGAUACAGUAGCUCAGUGAUUUUUCUUUUUCUUUUUUUUUUUUUUUGGAGACGCCCAGCUAAUUUUUGUAUUUUUAGUAAAGACAGGGUUUCACCAUGUUGGCCAGGCUGGUCUUGAACUCCUGACCUCAGGUAAUCCACCCACCUUGGCCUCCCAAAGUGCUGGGAUUACAGGCCUGAGUCACCAUGCACAGCCCAUUAUUUAUCAAAUGAUUUUUUUUUUUUUUUUUUGAGACCCAGUCUUGCUCUGUCACCCAGGCUGCAGUGCAGUGGCGCGACCUUGGCUCACUGCAAGCUCCACCUCCCGGGUUCACGCCAUUCUACUGCCUCAGCCUCCCAAGUAGCUGGGACUACAGGCGCCGGCCACCAGGCCUGGCUAAUUUUUUCUAUUUUUCAGUGGAGACGAGGUUUCACUGUGUUAGCCAGGAUGGUCUCUAUCUCCUGACCUCGUGAUCUGCCCGCCUUGGCCUCCCAAAGUGCUGGGAUUACAGGUGCGAGCCACCACGCCCAGCCACCUCAGCGAUUGCUUGGUCACAAAAUUACUAAGAACCAGGCCUUGAACCUGAAUCCAGGCCUUCUGACAAUAGAUCUUUCCAGUGUCCCUGCCCUGUCACUUAUCAAUGAAGAAAUCACCCCCUUAGGCCAUAUUGCUGAACAAUGAACCAAGUGAUUGAGAACUGUGGGGGGAAAUCCUAAAGUUUUUAAAGCACUGGUAGUUACCUGUCAUGACGACCUACUUAGCCAUCUUGUUUGGACACAAAGGAACUGACACAUACUUCAAUCUGAAAGCUGUACUUCCAAAUUGAUGGGGCCCAAAGAAAGAGGGGUAAAAAGCAACAUUUACAUGAAACAAGGAUGUUUUCUAGGAGCCCCAUUCAAUUUCCAAACUGGUAAGUGCUGCGUCUGAUAGCAGGUACUCAGCCCAGCACCACCGCUCUACUGAAUACUUCUUUCCUUUGCAUCUCCUGUGUCUGUGCUUAACAGGGCUGAUAAUUAUGCCAGGUGGAUUCACCUAGGAUGAUCUAUUUCAAUUAAAUUGUGACUGACCUUAAUAUAGUGAAGACAUAUAAUAGAACCAUUUAACUUACACGAAUUCAUCUACUUGUAAAUGUAAUAUGCAUGCAAGUAUACAUAAUAUAAGCAUAUGUACUUAAGUGAUAUGGCCAAAUAUUGCACUUCCUGCAUAAGCCUAAGCCAUGGAAUGGGUGUGAGAUGCACUGUUCUCUCAGGGAUAUCUUACUUUAUGUGCUUCCCCUAAUAUGAGCAUGUCCUUGCUGAGUAUGACAUAGCAUUUAAAGAAAUUAGAAUAAAGAUGCUAACUAAAACAGGUUUUUAGUUAAAAAGCAAUAAAGGAGAAUCCUCAUCCAAAAAUGGAAAUGAAUAGUAGGUGAGUGAGGAGUGGGAAGGACAGGAAAAUAAGAGACAGGUGAAUGGGAGCCAUGGUUUCGACUCCAGGUGCAAGGGAGCCUAAGCGACAGGCUCUGCUUGAAGCUGCGAGCCUGGGGUGAAGCCUGGAACUGGAAACUUCUGCCCAUUCCCUCUGCUAGGCCUCGGACUAAACCUAACAGAAACAGGCAAGACAAGGUGGGAAAGAUGAGUACAGGGAACACAGAGGACUUUUAGGGCAGUGAAAAUACUCUGCAUGAUACUAUAAUGGUGGAAUACAUGUCUUCAUACGUUUGUCCAAACCCACAGAUCAUGCAACACCAAGAAUGAACCCUAAUGUAAACUAUGGGUUUCAGGUGAUGUGGAUAUGUCAGUGUAAUGUGGGCUCACCGAUGGUAACAGAUGCACUGGUCUGGUGGGGGAUGUUGAUAGUAGGAGAAGCAAUGCGUGUGUAGGGGCAGGGGAUAGAUGGGAAAUCUCUCUACCUUCCUCUCACUUUUGCUGGGAAAUUAAAGUUUCUCUUAAAAAAUUAAGUCUCUUAAAAAAUUCAUUUGUUAAAAAACAAUCAAAAACCGGGAAAAUAUUACAAAUAAAAUAUCAUUGCAUAAAAGACUCAGGCAAAAUGAGAGAUCUAUGACAUUCACAGAUGGGAGGAUGAGAAAUCCUAAGCUAACCUAGAAAUUCAAUGUCCAGGCUCCUUAGUUAGCCAUUGGAGGCACUCUGGCCUGGUCCCUGCCAACAUCCCUGGCCUUGCUUCUUCAAAUGGCCCAACAGCCAGUGCUGCCACCAUCGAGUCCUCCCUGCCCAUCCUGGAUAAAGCAGCAUUCCUCCCACCAGUCUCCAUCCCCCUUACUCUGACCUAUUUUGCUCAACAGCACUGACCACAAUGUGAGCCAACACACUGUCUUCUCUGACAGAACAAAUGUUCCACAAGGACAGAGACUUUGUUUUGGUUCAUGGCUACAUAUUCACAGCUUUAUCAUAGUUGUAGUAGUUCUUAAAAUAGCCUGGCAUGUGUGUGCCAUGCUCAAAAAAUACGUAUUGAAUAGAUGAAGAGAUGCAUGUGACUCCAAUAAAAUUUGUAACAGAAUUUUUCUGGAAAUUGACCAAUUGAUUCCAAAAUUUAUAUGGAAGAAUAAAAGUGCAUAAAUAGUUAAGACAACUUUAAAAAUGAACAAGAGGAGGUAUCCACCCUUUAAGACAGUCAGCUGCAAAGCCACAGUAACUAAGUAUGACACUGAUAAGGAAAUACACAGAUAACUAAAAGAGUCCACAGACUCUAGCAAAUGAGGGGGUGUGAGGCCUGAGAGCACACACCACAAACCAAUUGGGAAAGAACAGCCUUUACAAUGGUGUUGGGAUAACUGUUUCAACCACAUGAAAAAAAAAAUUAAAUUCUUACCUUAUACUAUAAAAAGCAAAUUUCAAUUUCAAGAUUUGACAUUCAGAAGUUCUCAAAAACUGUAAGAAGACAUUACUGUAUGACCUCAUGGUAGAGAAGUCUUCUUAAAGAUACACACCAAAAAAACCCCAUAAAGGAUAAGGUAUAUUGGUUUGUCUUAAAAAUUAAGAACACAUAUUAAAAAAAUGCAUCAUAGGCCAGGCACGGUGGCUUAUGCCUGCAAUCCCAGCACUUUGGAAGG
This 4731-nucleotide long non-coding RNA is filed under the name Homo sapiens (human). RNAcentral describes it as "HSALNT0184512". The record is from RNAcentral. Lineage: Eukaryota; Metazoa; Chordata; Mammalia; Primates; Hominidae.